GAGAAUAGCUCAGUUGGUUAGAGCAUGGUGCUAAUAAUGCCAAGGAUAUGGGUUUGAUCCCUAUAUAGCCCA
This is a non-coding RNA of Lamprotornis superbus, 72 nucleotides long. NCBI's taxonomy places the organism in Eukaryota, Metazoa, Chordata, Aves, Passeriformes, Sturnidae. The record is from the annotation of a GenBank genome assembly.